UGGGGAAUAUUGCACAAUGGGGGAAACCCUGAUGCAGCAACGCCGCGUGAAGGAAGACGGUCUUCGGAUUGUAAACUUUUGUUCUUGGUGAAGAAGAAUGACGGUAGCCAAGGAGGAAGCCACGGCUAACUACGUGCCAGCAGCCGCGGUAAUACGUAGGGGGCAAGCGUUAUCCGGAAUUAUUGGGCGUAAAGCGUACGUAGGUGGUUACCUAAGCAGGGGGUUUAAGGCAAUGGCUUAACCAUUGUUCGCCCCCUGAACUGGGCUACUUGAGUGCAGGAGAGGAAAGCGGAAUUCCUAGUGUAGCGGUGAAAUGCGUAGAUAUUAGGAGGAACACCAGUGGCGAAGGCGGCUUUCUGGACUGUAACUGACACUGAGGUACGAAAGCGUGGGGAGCAAACAGGAUUAGAUACCCUGGUAGU
This 422-nucleotide ribosomal RNA is filed under the name uncultured bacterium. RNAcentral's name for it is "bacterial SSU rRNA". It matches the Rfam family "Bacterial small subunit ribosomal RNA", at positions 355 to 794 of the family's 1533-position model. The record is from RNAcentral.